AACGAACGCUGGCGGCAGGCCUAACACAUGCAAGUCGAGCGGACCCUUCGGGGUUAGCGGCGGACGGGUGAGUAACGCGUGGGAAUAUGCCCUUCUCUACGGCAUAGUCCUGGGAAACUGGGGGUAAUACCGUAUCCGCCCUUUGGGGGAAAGAUUUAUUGGGGAAGGAUUAGCCCGCGUUGGAUGAGGUGGUUGGUGGGGUAAUGGCCUACCACGCCGACGAUCCAUAGCUGGUUUGAGAGAAUGGUCAGCCACACUGGGACUGAGAAGCGGCCCAGACUCCUACGGGAUGCAGCAGUGGGGAAUCUUAGACAAUGGGGGCAACCCUGAUCUAGCCAUGCCGCGUGAGUGAUGAAGGCCUUAGGGUUGUAAAGCUCUUGCAGCUGGGAAGAUAAUGACGGUACCAGCAGAAGAAGCCCCGGCUAACUCCGUG
RNAcentral lists this ribosomal RNA (433 nucleotides) under uncultured bacterium. Its description in RNAcentral is "partial 16S ribosomal RNA". It matches the Rfam family "Bacterial small subunit ribosomal RNA", at positions 29 to 507 of the family's 1533-position model. The record is from RNAcentral.